GGGCUCACUUCGGCAACACAUAUACUGAAAUUGGAAUGAUACAGAGAAGAUUAGCAUGGCCCCUGCACAAAGAUGACACACAAAUGUGUAAAGCAUUCCAUGUUUUA
Molecule: small nuclear RNA, 107 nt
Organism: Pongo abelii (Sumatran orangutan)
Lineage: Eukaryota; Metazoa; Chordata; Mammalia; Primates; Hominidae
Source: Ensembl